Molecule: ribosomal RNA, 253 nt
Filed under: uncultured bacterium
Lineage: Bacteria
Description: partial 16S ribosomal RNA
Rfam family: Bacterial small subunit ribosomal RNA
Source: RNAcentral
UACAGAGGUCUCGAGCGUUAGGCGGAAUCACUGGGCUUAAAGCGUGUGUAGGUGGAUGCCUAAGUACCUUGUGAAAUCCCACAGCUUAACUGUGGAACUGCUUGGUAUACUGGGUGUCUUGAGUCACUCAGGGGCGAGCGGAACAAAUGGUGGAGCGGUGAAAUGCGUAGAUAUCGGGAGGAACACCGGUGGCGAAGGCGGUUCUCUGGGCCUUACCUGACGCUGAGGAGCGAAAGCGUGGGGAGCGAACAGG